GACGAACGCUGGCGGCGUGCCUAAUACAUGCAAGUAGAACGCUGAAGAGAGGAGCUUGCUCUUCUUGGAUGAGUUGCGAACGGGUGAGUAACGCGUAGGUAACCUGCCUUGUAGCGGGGGAUAACUAUUGGAAACGAUAGCUAAUACCGCAUAACAAUGGAUGACACAUGUCAUUUAUUUGAAAGGGGCAAUUGCUCCACUACAAGAUGGACCUGCGUUGUAUUAGCUAGUAGGUGAGGUAAUGGCUCACCUAGGCGACGAUACAUAGCCGACCUGAGAGGGUGAUCGGCCACACUGGGACUGAGACACGGCCCAGACUCCUACGGGAGGCAGCAGUAGGGAAUCUUCGGCAAUGGGGGCAACCCUGACCGAGCAACGCCGCGUGAGUGAAGAAGGGUGUCGGAUCGUAAAGCUCUGUUGUAAGUCGAGAACGGGUGUGAGAGUGGAAAGUUCACACUGUGACGGUAGCUUACCAGAAAGGGACGGCUAACUACGUG
This 497-nucleotide ribosomal RNA is filed under the name uncultured bacterium. RNAcentral's name for it is "partial 16S ribosomal RNA". It matches the Rfam family "Bacterial small subunit ribosomal RNA", at positions 28 to 507 of the family's 1533-position model. The record is from RNAcentral.